UACGUAGGGUGCAAGCGUUAAUCGGAAUUACUGGGCGUAAAGCGUGCGCAGGCGGUUUUGUAAGUCAGAUGUGAAAUCCCCGGGCUUAACCUGGGAACUGCGUUUGAAACUACAAGGCUAGAGUGUGACAGAGGGGGGUGGAAUUCCACGUGUAGCAGUGAAAUGCGUAGAGAUGUGGAGGAACACCGAUGGCGAAGGCAGCCCCCCUGGGUUAACACUGACGCUCAGGCACGAAAGCGUGGGGAGCAAACAGG
RNAcentral lists this ribosomal RNA (254 nucleotides) under uncultured bacterium. RNAcentral's name for it is "partial 16S ribosomal RNA". It matches the Rfam family "Bacterial small subunit ribosomal RNA", at positions 524 to 776 of the family's 1533-position model. The record is from RNAcentral.